CCUGGCUCAGAACGAACGCUGGCGGCGUGGAUAAGACAUGCAAGUCGAACGAGACCUUCCCAGUAGCAAUACCAGGUCGGUCUAGUGGCGCACGGGUGAGUAACACGUGAGCAACCUGCCCUGAAGUGGGGGAUAGCUCGCCGAAAGGCGAAUUAAUACCGCAUGUGGUGGCAACACCAAAGCAGCAAUGCGCUUCAGGAUGGGCUCGCGGCCUAUCAGCUUGUUGGUGAGGUAACGGCUCACCAAGGCAGUGACGGGUAACUGGUUUGAGAGGAUGAUCAGUCACACUGGAACUGAGACACGGUCCAGACACCUACGGGUGGCAGCAGUCGAGAAUCAUUCGCAAUGGGGGAAACCCUGACGAUGCGACGCCGCGUGGAGGAUGACGGCCCUCGGGUUGUAAACUCCUGUCAUGAGGGAGCAAAUCCCGCUUUCGCGGGACUGAUAGUACCUCAAGAGGAAGGAACGGCAAACUCUGUGCCAGCAGCCGCGGUAAUACAGAGGUUCCAAGCGUUGUUCGGAUUCAUUGGGCGUAAAGGGUGCGUAGGCGGCUUGGUAAGUCAAAUGUGAAAUUGCGGGGCUCAACCCCGUACGGCAUUCGAUACUGCCAUGCUAGAGGACUGGAGAGGAGACUGGAAUUCACGGUGUAGCAGUGAAAUGCGUAGAGAUCGGGAGGAAUACCUAUUGCGAAGGCGACCUGCUGGAACACAACUGACGCUGAGGCGCGAAAGCGUGGGUAGCAAACAGGAUUAGAUACCCUGGUAGUCCACGCCCUAAACGAUGGAUGCUAGUUGCUGUGGCGCUCGUCGUUGCAGUAAUACAGCUAACGCAUUAAGCAUCCCGCCUGGGGAGUACGGUCGCAAGAUUAAAACUCAAAGGAAUAGACGGGGACCCGCACAAGCGGUGGAGCAUGUGGUGUAAUUCGAAGAUACGCGAAGAACCUUACCCGGGCUUGACAUCCUUGGAACCCGCUGGAAACAGUGGGGUGCUAGCUUGCUAGAGCCAAGUGACAGGUGCUGCACGGCCGUCGUCAGCUCGUGUCGUGAGAUGUUGGGUUAAGUCCCGCAACGAGCGCAACCCUCGUCCUUAGUUGCUAACGGGUUAUGCCGAGAACUCUAAGGAGACUGCCCUCGCAAGGGGGAGGAAGGUGAGGAUGACGUCAGGUCAUCAUGGCCCUUACGCCCGGGGCAACACACGUGCUACAAUGGGUAGGACAAAGAGACGCAAGACCGCGAGGUGGAGCAAAUCUUUAAACCUACUCUCAGUUCGGAUUGCUCUCUGCAACUCGAGAGCAUGAAGCCGGAAUCGCUAGUAAUCGUAGAUCAGCUAUGCUACGGUGAUACGUUCCCGGGUCUUG
This 1357-nucleotide ribosomal RNA is filed under the name uncultured organism. RNAcentral describes it as "bacterial SSU rRNA". It matches the Rfam family "Bacterial small subunit ribosomal RNA", at positions 18 to 1383 of the family's 1533-position model. The record is from RNAcentral.